This 461-nucleotide unclassified non-coding RNA is filed under the name uncultured fungus. Its description in RNAcentral is "partial contains 5.8S ribosomal RNA, internal transcribed spacer 2, and large subunit ribosomal RNA". The record is from RNAcentral. Lineage: Eukaryota; Fungi.
AACGCAAAUGGCGCUUCCUGGUAUCCCGGGGAGCAUGCCUGUUUGAGAACCGUAAGGCAAGUCACCGGAACCAGUUCCGGUGGAGUUGGACGCACAGGUCGAUGGGGAUUAGGUGUCCUUUUUCGGCUCGUGGUCCGCAAAGCUUCUCCCAUAUCAUCUUUUUACCCCGGGAGAGUCUCAUCUUUCGGGGAAGUGUGUGGGCCGGGGAAGAGAAGACUGGAAGACAACCCCGGGUGUGCUUCCGAAAGGCUAGAUAACACGGUAUCGCUGGGGGGAGGUGAAAGGGAGGAGGGAUUUCCCCAUCCUUUCCGGAACCUAUCCACCUAUAAAUACGGUACACAUUAGCCGACGACCAGAGGAAGGCCCCGUUGGUGUUUGUGUCUGGUGCUGCUCUAGAGAAGGGGGUGUGAAGGCCCACAGGUCGUGGUCUCAAAUCAGGCAAGAGAACCCGCUGAACUUAA